This 97-nucleotide signal recognition particle RNA is filed under the name Trueperaceae bacterium. RNAcentral's name for it is "signal recognition particle sRNA small type". It matches the Rfam family "Bacterial small signal recognition particle RNA". From Rfam's summary of the family: The signal recognition particle (SRP) is a universally conserved ribonucleoprotein involved in the co-translational targeting of proteins to membranes. Archaeal SRP consists of a 7S RNA and homologues of the eukaryotic SRP19 and SRP54 proteins. In most bacteria, the SRP consists of a 4.5S RNA and the Ffh protein (a homologue of the eukaryotic SRP54 protein). The record is from RNAcentral. Lineage: Bacteria; Thermotogati; Deinococcota; Deinococci; Trueperales; Trueperaceae.
UCACCGGCCCAGCGCGGUGGCGACCCUCGAACCAGGUCAGAUCGAGAGAAGCAGCCUUAAGGGGUGAUCGUCAGGUGCCGCUGGUCACCGGUGGGGC